GAAAGAAUAGGCAAAUUUAAAGAGAAAAACACCCUUUAGAUGGGGGAGUUCAGUCCCUGUUUCUCUUCCCACAUUCUAAGACACGGUCUGAAAUUGCUUAGCUCCCCCACAUGGUGUCGCUGUCUACUCAUAAAUAAGCGCUCUGUUAAAUGUUUCCAGACUGAAAAUCCAAAGAUCUGGAAUCCCAAACCGCCCACCUCCCUCGGGAACUCAUACCCCCACCAAAGCCUAGCACAGGGCAAACGCUAGGCUCAAUCACGGUUUCUAAGCUGGAGGCCCGUGAGAGGCCGCAGAUCCGCGCACCGAGCUCCCCGCAGAUCGUGCGCCAAUUGGGGCACCCUCGCGGUGGUCCAACUGAGCCGUAGCUAGGCCUGGUGGAGUGGAGGGGGGAGGACCAAUGGAGAGGACGCAGGGAGGAGCAUCUGGGCAGGGACAGGACCACCAGCUGGCCGGCGGGGCGGAGCCACAUCCGGCUCCCCCAGGGCCUGAAGCCCUGCUCCCCAGGUGUCCCCCACCCCCGGCACCACCCCAGCAAACUACCCUACCCUUCCCCACCCGCGGGCACUUCCGGGACCACUCUAGGCCUCAGGAGGUCUCAUCAUCUCUGUGCUCCUGCUGCUGAGCCUGGCCGCUGGUGGCCUGGUGUCCCUAAAGCAUGUUCUAGCACAGCGGAGCGGAGCCCGCGUUGGACGGAGCGCACAGGAAAAUACUGAGGUUGGGAAAGGCGAGUCUAGAGCCUCCAAUUACAGCUGAACCUUCCUUGAGGCUAGGCUCGAGAUCCUUCAUUCAAAGGUAACCCUGGCCAGACAUGCCCCCUCCCCCACCGCUCAUAUAGGACCACAAUGAGGUGAAGGGGGAUGAAAGCAAGAAGGGCGAGAAGAGUGUAAGCUAGACCCUUCUGGGACUCCGUAACUCCCAAACGCGGCAUCUGGAUGCUCAUCUCCAGAAAUGAGGGCCCUUCUGAGAACACCUGCCUCUAACCAUCAAGAUCUUUGGGAACCUGCCCGGAGACUUCAGAAAAGAGGCAGGGCUGCCCCUCCCCUCCCCAUCAGCAUGAACUCCAUGGGGACCAGCCACCCAAGAACCACGAGCGUUGGACCACAAUCAGCCAUGCAGGACUUAGGGGCGGGGGUGGGGGGAGGGUGGCAAGUGUUGGUUCCUGUUUCACUACCUUCAGGUCACUGGAAGGCCAGGAGGGAAGCUAAACCCCUAAGGGAUAGGGACAAAGCUGGGCCACAUUCCCUAAGGGUCUCAGUUGUUUCCUCUUUAGACAACAAUCAUCAAAAUCCCAACCUCCACAUCCUCCGAUUUGACAUUUAUUUUAUUUAUUUGUUUACGCAGGAUCUCACAGUUCUCAGGACAGUGGUUGACCCGUCGUCAACGUGUUAUUAA
Molecule: long non-coding RNA, 1392 nt
Filed under: Mus spicilegus (steppe mouse)
Lineage: Eukaryota; Metazoa; Chordata; Mammalia; Rodentia; Muridae
Description: lncRNA (ENSMSIG00000005052.1)
Source: RNAcentral